CCUACGGGUGGCAGCAGUGGGGAAUAUUGGACAAUGGGCGAAAGCCUGAUCCAGCCAUGCCGCGUGUGUGAAGAAGGCCUUCGGGUUGUAAAGCACUUUCAGUGGGGAAGAAAGCCUUGGGGCUAAUACCCUCGAGGAAGGACAUCACCCACAGAAGAAGCACCGGCUAACUCCGUGCCAGCAGCCGCGGUAAUACGGAGGGUGCGAGCGUUAAUCGGAAUUACUGGGCGUAAAGCGCGCGUAGGCGGUCUGAUAAGCCGGUUGUGAAAGCCCCGGGCUCAACCUGGGAACGGCAUCCGGAACUGUCAGGGGAGAGUGGAGGAGAGGAAGGUAGAAUUCCCGGUGUAGCGGUGAAAUGCGUAGAGAUCGGGAGGAAUAGCAGUGGCGAAGGCGGCCUUCUGGACUGACACUGACGCUGAGGUGCGAAAGCGUGGGUAGCCAACAGGAUUAGAUACCCUUGUAGU
Molecule: ribosomal RNA, 464 nt
Filed under: Vreelandella stevensii
Lineage: Bacteria; Pseudomonadati; Pseudomonadota; Gammaproteobacteria; Oceanospirillales; Halomonadaceae
Description: partial 16S ribosomal RNA
Rfam family: Bacterial small subunit ribosomal RNA
Source: RNAcentral